Molecule: ribosomal RNA, 301 nt
Filed under: uncultured bacterium
Lineage: Bacteria
Description: partial 16S ribosomal RNA
Rfam family: Bacterial small subunit ribosomal RNA
Source: RNAcentral
CAGUCGCCGCGGUAAUACGAGGGAGGCAAGCGUUGUUCGGAUUUAUUGGGCGUAAAGGGUGCGUAGGCGGUUUGGCAAGUCUUGUGUGAAAUCUUCGGGCUCAACCCGAAGCCUGCACGAGAAACUACCGGGCUUGAGUAUUGGAGAGGUGAGUGGAAUUUCCGGUGUAGCGGUGAAAUGCGUAGAUAUCGGAAGGAACACCUGUGGCGAAAGCGGCUCACUGGACAAUAACUGACGCUGAUGCACGAAAGCUAGGGGAGCAAACAGGAUUAGAUACCCGCGUAGUCCCUGUCUCUUAUAC